Molecule: transfer RNA, 21 nt
Filed under: Chelonoidis niger
Lineage: Eukaryota; Metazoa; Chordata; Testudines; Testudinidae
Also listed under: 3 other names
Description: partial tRNA-Glu
Source: RNAcentral
UAUUCAACUACAAAAACAUUA